Molecule: long non-coding RNA, 656 nt
Organism: Cucurbita moschata (crookneck pumpkin)
Lineage: Eukaryota; Viridiplantae; Streptophyta; Magnoliopsida; Cucurbitales; Cucurbitaceae
Exons: 2
Source: RefSeq, a predicted model, not a curated record
CACCUCAAAUUUGUCUCUCUUUUAGACAUUACCCAAUGUGCCAAACUUCCAUGUCCACCCACAAACCACAAACAACUACUCUUCUUUCUUACUUUUUCAAUUUUUUUCUUUACUUUUAUGAAUAUUUUUAGGCCACAAAUACACCCAAACAUAUCUCUAUUUUAUUUAUUCAAUUUUAGUGUAUAAAUUGAUUAAAAAAAAACUUAUUUUAUACUUAUUUUAGUGUACAAAGACAAAGGAAAGAAGAAAGUGGGUAAAGAUGCAAAUCUUUUGAUGGAACUAAGGCAAAUGGUGUUUUGGUAGCCCUUUAAAUGCCUUCUCUUACAUUGUUGCUCCAUUGUGCAAUUCUUUGAGAGAUGAAGCUUUGCCUGCCUCUCUUUUUCGUAUUAACGCUUCUUUUUCUCAUCUUCUCAAAGAAGGUGGUGGAAAUGAGGGGAGAUGGAGGAGGAAGAUGCAUGACAGUGAUUGAUCCAAAGGCAUGCGACUUGAGGUCUUGCAAGCAACAAUGUCUUGAGCAUAAAAAUGGAAAUGGAGUUUGUUUAAGGAACUUCAAAGUGGGUUACCAAUGUGUCUGUUACAUUAAUUGCUUUUUAACUUGAUGGAAAUGCAUUAUCAUAGACAUACAAUCAAAAAACCUUCAGGUUACUUUAUAUUAA